UAUUUUUUUCUCACCAAAAUACACAGCCAAAACUUCCUUAUUCUUGUCUUUGAUUUUUUUCCUUCUUUUUUGUUGUGAAGAGUAGUUUUAUAGAUUGAUUAAAUGCUCAAUUGGUGCAAAACUUGCCAACUGAAUGAAGCAAUCUUUUUAUGAAACAGAUUUUUGUUGAGUUUGAUCUUGUUCCACUAGCAAGUGCUUCCCUCGCAAAGGUUCAUGUUGCUCACAUGCAUGAUGGCAAAAAAGUUGUUGUAAAGGUGUGAAGAAGAAAGUUGAUAAAGUAAUGUCUGCAUUGAAGGAAUGGACUGAAAUUUCGUAUGGUUUCAAAAAGAAAACAAAGGUGUGUAUCUGAACUAUUGUGUUGUUGCCUCUUUGAUUUGUUAGAAAGGCACUACAAUAGGCAUUAGGUGAUUCUUUAAAAUAAAACUCAGUGGCACAUUUGAGUUUCAAGAAUGGUUAAAUGGGAGCAAUGAGAAAUAUGAAUAUGUCCAAAAGGAAAUACUAGAUGGUCCAAACAGUGGACCUAGCCUUUGGAUGCUAAUAUAUCUAAAGAGUCACUUUGAUCCAAGGAUCGGUGUGAUAUAAACUUCCACUGUCUGAACUGUAUGUCUCAAACUCAAGUGUUUUCCUAACAAGGCUUUAAAGGUGUUUUAUUCUUGUAAUCUUAUUCCAGUUCUGAUUCAACUGCUCCUAUUAAUCCAAACUAUCCAAAUUGUUUUGGUGAUUCUUUUUUAUUUUAAUCUUGUGUUAUUAUUAUUAUUAUCAUGGGUCAUUUGUUUCAUGUUUGGGAAAAUAUAGGGUUAGGUCAGUGAAGGAUACUUUGCUACUAGUUUUGAAAGGGAUAGGAGUCCUCUCUUGGGUUGUCAUGGUUCACCAACUGGAUUGGUAAGUAUUUACAUGCUUUGUUCGUUUGUUGUUAA
Long non-coding RNA from Magnolia sinica, 917 nucleotides. RefSeq lists it as uncharacterized. NCBI's taxonomy places the organism in Eukaryota, Viridiplantae, Streptophyta, Magnoliopsida, Magnoliales, Magnoliaceae. The record is from RefSeq and is a predicted model, not a curated record. The transcript is spliced from 2 exons.